GACGAACGCUGGCGGCGUGCUUAACACAUGCAAGUCGUACGGUAAGGCCCUUUCGGGGGUACACGAGUGGCGAACGGGUGAGUAACACGUGAGUAACCUGCCCACAACUUUGGGAUAAGGCUAGGAAACUGGUGCUAAUACUGGAUAUGUGCUCCUGCUGCAUGGGGGGGGUUGGAAAGCUCCGGCGGUUGUGGAUGGACUCGCGGCCUAUCAGCUUGUUGGUGGGGUAGUGGCCUACCAAGGCGGCGACGGGUAGCCGGCCUGAGAGGGUGACCGGCCACAUUGGGACUGAGAUACGGCCCAGACUCCUACGGGAGGCAGCAGUGGGGAAUAUUGCACAAUGGGCGCAAGCCUGAUGCAGCAACGCCGCGUGCGGGAUGACGGCCUUCGGGUUGUAAACCGCUUUCAGCAGGGACGAAGCUUUUUGUGACGGUACCUGCAGAAGAAGCACCGGCUAACUACGUG
This 465-nucleotide ribosomal RNA is filed under the name uncultured bacterium. Its description in RNAcentral is "partial 16S ribosomal RNA". It matches the Rfam family "Bacterial small subunit ribosomal RNA", at positions 28 to 507 of the family's 1533-position model. The record is from RNAcentral.